Molecule: ribosomal RNA, 591 nt
Filed under: Triticum aestivum (bread wheat)
Lineage: Eukaryota; Viridiplantae; Streptophyta; Magnoliopsida; Poales; Poaceae
Description: partial small subunit ribosomal RNA
Source: RNAcentral
AUGGGGCACGCGGGGAGAGCCAGCGGGGAGAAGGCGAUCGCGAGGGAGCUCGUGCUCAAGGUGUCGAUGCACUGCCGCUGCGACGGGUGCACGCCCAAGGUGAGCUCCGCCCUGAACAACCUCGCGCUGGCACCGGGCGUGGUGGCGGUGCUGGAACGGUCGGCGACGGAGGACACCGAGGAGGUGCGCCUGCUGGCAACGGCCGACCCCGAGCGCCUCCGCAAGAGCCUCCACGAGGCCACCGGCAAGAAGAAGGUCGACCUCGUCUUAAUCCCGCCCAAGCCCAACAAGCAGGAGCGAUCCGGCCGCUGGAACGGCGGCAAGGAGGACCCUCGGCUCGUCGACUUCGACGCGGUCCAGGGGCUGCUCGCCGACCCGCAGCUCCACGACCAGGCGCCGCCGCCGGGCCAUACUUGGUACGGGAGCAGCUACGUCGAGGGGUACCCUCCUCCGGUGACGCCCUACUACCCGGGCCCGCCGCCCCCUGCCUGGGCACCAAUACCAUACGGCCAGCCUUUUCCGGCGACGGCUCCGCCUGGCCCCUACGUGCCCAGCGCGCCGUGGUGGACCGGCGGCCCCAGCGCGCCGUGA